AGGCGUCUACUUUGAAAAAAUGCUGAAAAAUUCGUCGGCGGAUGUGUGGAUCCAGAACAUUCGGCUUUCAAUUCUGACCCUUCUCUUUGCUGGGAUCACCAUG
This is a non-coding RNA of Caenorhabditis elegans, 103 nucleotides long. Lineage: Eukaryota; Metazoa; Nematoda; Chromadorea; Rhabditida; Rhabditidae. The record is from Ensembl.